GGAAUAUUGGACAAUGGGCGCAAGCCUGAUCCAGCCAUGCCGCGUGAGUGAAGAAGGCCCUCGGGUUGUAAAGCUCUUUUGUCCGGAAAGAAAAGCAUUCGGUUAAUACCCGGGUGUUCUGACGGUACCGGAAGAAUAAGCACCGGCUAACUUCGUGCCAGCAGCCGCGGUAAUACGAAGGGUGCAAGCGUUACUCGGAAUUACUGGGCGUAAAGCGUGCGUAGGUGGUUUGUUAAGUCUGAUGUGAAAGCCCUGGGCUCAACCUGGGAAUGGCACUGGAUACUGGCAAGCUAGAGUGUGGCAGAGGGUAGUGGAAUUCCUGGUGUAGCAGUGAAAUGCGUAGAGAUCAGGAGGAACAUCCGUGGCGAAGGCGACUGCCUGGGCCAACACUGACACUGAGGCACGAAAGCGUGGGGAGCAAACAG
This 425-nucleotide ribosomal RNA is filed under the name uncultured bacterium. Its description in RNAcentral is "bacterial SSU rRNA". It matches the Rfam family "Bacterial small subunit ribosomal RNA", at positions 358 to 775 of the family's 1533-position model. The record is from RNAcentral.